UGAGGAAUAUUGGGCAAUGCCCGCAAGGGUGACCCAGCAACGCCGCGUGGAGGAUGAAUGUCGUAAGAUUGUAAACUCCUGUUAGAGGGGAAGAAUAGUACCGGUUGGACCGGUAUAUGACUGUACCCUCAGAGAAAGCCCCGGCUAACUACGUGCCAGCAGCCGCGGUAAUACGUAGGGGGCAAGCGUUGUCCGGAUUUACUGGGCGUAAAGCGCGUGCAGGCGGUCUCUUAAGUCUGGUGUGAAAGCCCGGGGCUCACCCCCGGAAGGGCACUGGAGACUGGGAGGCUAGAGUACCGGAGAGGAAGGUGGAAUUCCUGGUGUAGCGGUGAAAUGCGUAGAUAUCAGGAGGAACACCGGUGGCGAAGGCGGCCUUCUGGACGGCUACUGACGCUGAGACGCGAAAGCGUGGGGAGCAAACA
Molecule: ribosomal RNA, 422 nt
Filed under: uncultured bacterium
Lineage: Bacteria
Description: bacterial SSU rRNA
Rfam family: Bacterial small subunit ribosomal RNA
Source: RNAcentral